GGUCUAUUAGUCUAGUUGGUUAGGACGUCGGAUUCUGAUUUCACAUCAUAUCCUUCCGUAGGCCCAGGUUCGAAUCCUGGAUGGACCU
RNAcentral lists this transfer RNA (88 nucleotides) under Colletotrichum sublineola. It matches the Rfam family "tRNA". From Rfam's summary of the family: Transfer RNA (tRNA) molecules are approximately 80 nucleotides in length. Their secondary structure includes four short double-helical elements and three loops (D, anti-codon, and T loops). Lineage: Eukaryota; Fungi; Ascomycota; Sordariomycetes; Glomerellales; Glomerellaceae. RNAcentral also lists the same sequence under 1 other name. The record is from Rfam by way of RNAcentral.